This 76-nucleotide transfer RNA is filed under the name Phocaeicola vulgatus. RNAcentral's name for it is "Bacteroides vulgatus tRNA-Gly". It matches the Rfam family "tRNA". From Rfam's summary of the family: Transfer RNA (tRNA) molecules are approximately 80 nucleotides in length. Their secondary structure includes four short double-helical elements and three loops (D, anti-codon, and T loops). The record is from RNAcentral. Lineage: Bacteria; Pseudomonadati; Bacteroidota; Bacteroidia; Bacteroidales; Bacteroidaceae.
GCGGAAAUAGCUCAGUCGGUAGAGCAUAACCUUGCCAAGGUUAGGGUCGCGAGUUCGAGUCUCGUUUUCCGCUCAA